This 326-nucleotide ribosomal RNA is filed under the name uncultured bacterium. RNAcentral's name for it is "bacterial SSU rRNA". It matches the Rfam family "Bacterial small subunit ribosomal RNA", at positions 30 to 355 of the family's 1533-position model. The record is from RNAcentral.
AUUGAACGCUGGCGGCAUGCCUUACACAUGCAAGUCGAACGGCAGCACGGGAGCAAUCCUGGUGGCGAGUGGCGAACGGGUGAGUAAUACAUCGGAACGUGCCCAGUAGUGGGGGAUAACCCGGCGAAAGACCGGACUAAUACCGCAUACGACCUACGGGUGAAAGCAGGGGAGUCGCAAGACCUUGCGCUAUUGGAGCGGCCGAUGUCAGAUUAGCUUGUUGGNGGGGUAAAGCCUACCAAGGCAACGAUCUGUAGCUGGUCUGAGAGGACGACCAGCCACACUGGGACUGAGACACGGCCCAGACUCCUACGGGAGGCAGCAGU